Molecule: non-coding RNA, 122 nt
Organism: Paramarasmius palmivorus
Lineage: Eukaryota; Fungi; Basidiomycota; Agaricomycetes; Agaricales; Marasmiaceae
Source: the annotation of a GenBank genome assembly
GGCGAGAUGGCCGAGCGGUCUAAGGCGCCAGACUAAGGACCAGGACGAUUUACGUCCUCAAACUUCUGAUUCCCAGCAUAAUCUGGUCCGAAAGGGCGUGGGUUCGAAUCCCACUCUCGUCA